UGACUGACAUUGUAAUCUCCAUAAGCAUUUCUAAUUUGUUAACUAUUGUUCUUUAUCGUAAACUAACAAAGAAACCAUUUCCCAUUUGCAUCCAAAGGGAAGUUCUGAUUUCUGAAGCAAUUUUGACACAUUAAACAAAACAGAUAUUCAACUACUAAUAUACUGUGAAAUUUAGCAAUGGAUAUUAAAUACGCAAAUUACAGUUGAAAGCUUGGGUUCCGUACUGGGGCUUCUCAGGACAACAAAGUAUAUAACGGCGGCGAUAACUGUUCUGAUGAUAUGAUCAUUUCUGUACAAAAAAUACUCUGCCACCAUCGUUCGAAAGCAACCCGCAAAAUUAACCGAUGAAGCAUGUAUAAAGCAGUGCCUCUCCUCCACACUGCUAGUGCCUGAAUUGACCUCUAUUCCGUCAAGCUAGAGAAAUUAGAAGAGGUAAAAAGAUCAAUCAACCACCCAAAUUUUGGUGAGCUUCAGAAACAGAAGUAGCUUAAUGAGCAAUAGAAUGUUAAACAUAAGUUCUUCUCAUGUUUUAGUCUCUAUGGACUGCUAAAGAUGGAUGUCAUGCCAAUCUUGCAUGUUGGAGCCUUGUUACUUUAGAUUUAGAAUUCAGAUAGUGGCAGUUCUGCAUAGGCACUGAAAAUACUAAUGUUGUUGUACACCUUUGAUCAUGCCAAAGCAAAUAUGCUCUUAUUUGUGUAUAAAGCUUUGAAGUUUACCAUGCUACAAUUUGCUAUUGCCAAAAUAAUGUCACAUUGUAGCCAUUAGCACUUUCAGAAAGGAUGGUGUGGGCAUUCAAACGUAAUACUCUCAGGUAACAAAACAUAAAGCUGAAACCAAUGCCUCACAGGCGCGUCGAGUAGCGGAACAAGGGAAUGUAAUUGUAACUGACCCGCAAUUAUGCAGUGAAAAGGUAAAAAAAAAAAUCUACACCAUCACGUAUUGGUAUAUAUGAGACGAUUUACAUUCCUGUUCCAUUAUUACUGUUUAUGUUGAUGCAACAGUAAACCGAAAAUGAAUUGAACAAGGACAAAGAAAACAACCAUCGAUCUCAUGGCAUGGACAUCGUUCAUGGUGAUGGUGCCGGAGCAGUAUCACCUCCUGUGCCGACGGCGACGAUGGGGCUACGCACGACAUGCUUCUCCGAUACCCAGCUCAAGGUUCCCUCCACGUAGAGCUCUUUGCCCAGGUCAUGGCCGCUCAUGGACACACUGAAGGGCUUCUUCUCUCCGGUUUUGGAGAACGACAUCGUCUCCGGGACGACACGCACCCAGGGCCGGUCCUGAGAUUUUAGGGGCCCGAGGCGAAACUAAAUUUUGGGGCCCUUAAUAAUAAUCAAUACAUGUAUAUAUAAAAAAUGUUUUUGGUGAACACUUGAUAUUUGUGUCAUUGUGAUCUUUUUUUUUUGAAAAGGGGAAAGACCCCGGCCUCUACAUCAUCAUGAUGCACACAUCCAUUUUUAUUAAAAGGAAAUAAAUAGGUUUGAAACGUAUAUAGUAUCAACUAAAACGGCAGAAUGAAAAAAAACACCAUAAAUAGUGGGUACAAACGAAAGAUUACAUGACUUAACCACAUAAUCUUCAUUGUGAUCUUAUAAGUAUCCCUAUAUAUAGAAAAUAUAUGAAUGUCGUUAUCUAAAGACAUCCUUGGAAAUAGGAGGGCAUGCUAAUUAUCAAGGUUACUAGAACGAUGGAGCAUAGUUAUAUGGUUUCAGGUAUAGAAGGUUCGAAGACAAUGACUCCAUGUAUAGUGCUAAAAGAAAUUUGAUCAAAAAGCAUAGUUGUUCUUGGACUGCUUAAUGGUAAGAUUAUUAUUCUAUAAAUAGCAGUGUCCAAGAAAUUAAGAUUAGAGGAGCAAAUAAAUUAAAAUGAUAUUCAAAAUAUUCUUCAUAGAUUAGAAAUCAAAUCUGCAACCGUGCAAAGUUACUCCUACUAGUUGUGCAAAUUUAUUGUGCCAUCCUAUAAUUCAACCCAAAACUACUCGUCACGAUUUGCAUCCAGAACAUCAUCUUGUUCUUAAUCUAUUUGAGAUCUACACCAUAAAAUCCUUGUUCCCAAACUGUAGAAGCAUAUCGGUCAGUGAUACGUACCGCGGAAGACAUUGACCUGGCAGACAACGCUUAGAUCCACAAACUACACGCCGGUGCGCCGCCGGCUCCGACGCGCAG
This 2164-nucleotide long non-coding RNA is filed under the name Triticum aestivum (bread wheat). RNAcentral's name for it is "long non-coding RNA (TAES_LNC015676)". Lineage: Eukaryota; Viridiplantae; Streptophyta; Magnoliopsida; Poales; Poaceae. The record is from RNAcentral.